CCUACGGGAGGCAGCAGUGGGGAAUAUUGCACAAUGGGCGGAAGCCUGAUGCAGCCACGCCGCGUGAGGGAUGACGGCCUUCGGGUUGUAAACCUCUUUCAGCAGGGACGAAGCGCAAGUGACGUACCUGCAGAAGAAGCGCCGGCUUACUACGUGCCAGCAGCCGCGGUAAU
RNAcentral lists this ribosomal RNA (173 nucleotides) under uncultured bacterium. RNAcentral's name for it is "partial 16S rRNA". It matches the Rfam family "Bacterial small subunit ribosomal RNA", at positions 338 to 524 of the family's 1533-position model. The record is from RNAcentral.